UCUGUCUCCACGUCCUGCUUCAUCAGCCGCUCAGCUUUCCACUCUGAACUCUGCUGGGACAUAAGAUCAGGCAACGGCUCCUCGGAGUUUUCAGGGAGCGGCCCAGCUCAAAGCAAUGAAGACGUACGAUUGGAAACGACUGAACACGGAGGGGAGGGAGAAAAAAAAACAAACUUUAUUUUUGAUAUUCCUGCUCAUAAAUCACGUCAUGAUGCAAACUGCAACCAUUCCGCUAAAUGCAUCUACCCCCUCCAAGUGAAACUGUGGAGCAAAGUCCUUCUUGUUUUGGUCAGCCACCAUGUAUGGAAAUGAAGCGACAACGAUGACGACUAGUCAUUACAUUGCGCUUCCUUUAGGAAACGAGGCGCUGACAGAUGAGGUUUUGUCGUGAAGGAAGGCACGCAUUACCGAUUCUUCACUGCAGGAUGGUUCUGCUUUAACGAGAGACAGACAAUAGGACCAUCUCACAUGGGUCCAUGCAGAAGUCUGCAUUCUGGGCUAAAUGAGAAGAAUGCAGUCGUGCUUUGUUUUUAGGAUGUCACGUGAAAACAGGCCACAGUCUAGACCUGCUGUUUCACUUUUAAUGUCGACCCAAAAAAAAAAUUAAGAAAAGAAACCUGCAGCAAGUUUAGUGUUCGUUUAUUGCAGUUUAUGAAAAGAAAAAAAAAAAUCAGAAUUAGUCAAAAGUCUUUCAUAACACAGAAACGGAGCUUCUGAAAUAAAAUACAAUAAAAUAAAAAUAAAAACACAAAGGUCAUUGCCCAGUGAGUGUCUACGAGGCCCUACGAUGCACAACGCUAACGAUCAUACAUUAAUGCUAAAAUGCACAUUCUUACAGAAUGACUUGUCCGUACGUCUACAAGCUAAGCUAACAUGUUGGCUAAAGGCGAAAAACAAACAAACAAAAAAAAAAACUUAAAAUAGCGCAUCAUAUCCUGGAAAACAACAGCAGGGUAACUUUUUUCUCAAAAGAAUAAAAAAAAAAAUCUUGAUCAUAAAAGAUUUUGUACAGCAGGCAUUGCUUUGUUUAAUCAUCUUCAUGAUGUGUUCUUCCGUACGGAAGCUAGUAGUACGAUGGCUGAAAUUUAAAGGACUUCAGUUAAAGCAAUAAAUACCCGACCUUCUCCAAACUUCACCCACAUAACUUUUAGGAAAAUAAAAGCCCCCAAACGUUUACAUGUAAAAAUUGGGGGGGAGGG
This is a non-coding RNA of Poecilia reticulata (guppy), 1199 nucleotides long. The record is from RefSeq and is a predicted model, not a curated record. NCBI's taxonomy places the organism in Eukaryota, Metazoa, Chordata, Actinopteri, Cyprinodontiformes, Poeciliidae.